UUGCUCUUUCCGGAAUUGAGUGGCAAACGGGUGAGUAACACGUAAACAACCUGCCUUCAGGAUGGGGACAACAGACGGAAACGACUGCUAAUACCGAAUAAGUUCCAAGAGCCGCAUGGUACAGCAAGAAAAGGAGCAAUCCGCUAAUAGAUGAGCUUGCGGCUGAUUAGCUAGUUGGUGUGGUAACGGCAUACCAAGGCAACGAUCAGUAGCCGGGCUGAGAGGCUCUUCGGCCACAUUGGGACUGAGAUACGGCCCAGACUCC
Molecule: ribosomal RNA, 265 nt
Filed under: uncultured Bacillota bacterium
Lineage: Bacteria; Bacillati; Bacillota
Description: uncultured Firmicutes bacterium partial 16S ribosomal RNA
Rfam family: Bacterial small subunit ribosomal RNA
Source: RNAcentral